GCACCUAUCGUCUAGCUGGCCUAGGACACCGCCCUUUCAAGGCGGGUACACGGGUUCGAAUCCCGUUGGGUGUGCCA
RNAcentral lists this transfer RNA (77 nucleotides) under Pseudomonadales bacterium. RNAcentral describes it as "tRNA-Glu". It matches the Rfam family "tRNA". From Rfam's summary of the family: Transfer RNA (tRNA) molecules are approximately 80 nucleotides in length. Their secondary structure includes four short double-helical elements and three loops (D, anti-codon, and T loops). Further hydrogen bonds mediate the characteristic L-shaped molecular structure. tRNAs have two regions of fundamental functional importance: the anti-codon, which is responsible for specific mRNA codon recognition, and the 3' end, to which the tRNAs corresponding amino acid is attached (by aminoacyl-tRNA synthetases). tRNAs cope with the degeneracy of the genetic code in two manners: having more than one tRNA (with a specific anti-codon) for a particular amino acid; and 'wobble' base-pairing, i.e. permitting non-standard base-pairing at the 3rd anti-codon position. The record is from RNAcentral. Lineage: Bacteria; Pseudomonadati; Pseudomonadota; Gammaproteobacteria; Pseudomonadales. RNAcentral also lists the same sequence under 1 other name.